Non-coding RNA from Danio rerio (zebrafish), 645 nucleotides. Lineage: Eukaryota; Metazoa; Chordata; Actinopteri; Cypriniformes; Danionidae. The record is from RefSeq and is a predicted model, not a curated record.
UUGCACAAGAUGUUUCAUUUCAGAAUGUGAUGGUGUAGUGCAGCUGAUUGAUAUGAGUAACCAAAAUGUGAUGGUGCUGUGCAGCUGAUUGGCAUUGACAUCGGCCAAUCGGCACGUAGCACCGCCUUUUUAAACCUGAUUGGUUGGUGCUUGGGAUACGUCACGUCCGACUCCGACGCACUGGUUUGGGUGUCUGUAGCCGCGGCUACAGUGCAUCGUGUGGCGGUGGCUUUUCCCUUGGCUGUGGUGGCUGGAUGACUGUUCAAUUGCAGGAACUGAGGUUUCCCCCGGUGGAUGACGGGUCACUUUCCACUGGUGGUGGUGUUUCUCUAUCGUGUGCUGUGGACACUGAGUGCGUGAUAGCGUGAUUUUUGAGUGCACUGUGGUGUGUGCGUGUGCUGGGGUAAAGUCUGUCCACUCGUACCCAGUCAGUGGGAACCUCCAAUCCUGGUUUGGUUUUGUUUAUUUAUUGUUUCUUGUGUUUAAUAAUGAAGUGGGAGUUUUUGAUGUAUUUUUAAAGAACCGUACCAUUUGAUAGUUUUAUUCCAAAUAAAUAUUUUUGUACUUUUUCAUUAACUCACGUCUCUGUGCCUUUCUGGGAGAAACGAACCUGUGUCCUUUUCUAAUAGUGUUUCCCUGGGUAAC